CGAACGCUGGCGGCGUGCCUAAUACAUGCAAGUCGUGCGGACCUUUUAAAAGCUUGCUUUUAAAAGGUUAGCGGCGGACGGGUGAGUAACACGUGGGCAACCUGCCUGUAAGAUCGGGAUAACGCCGGGAAACCGGGGCUAAUACCGGAUAGUUUUUUCCUCCGCAUGGAGGAAAAAGGAAAGACGGCUUUGGCUGUCACUUACAGAUGGGCCCGCGGCGCAUUAGCUAGUUGGUGGGGUAACGGCUCACCAAGGCAACGAUGCGUAGCCGACCUGAGAGGGUGAUCGGCCACAUUGGGACUGAGACACGGCCCAAACUCCUACGGGAGGCAGCAGUAGGGAAUCUUCCGCAAUGGACGAAAGUCUGACGGAGCAACGCCGCGUGAGUGAAGAAGGCCUUCGGGUCGUAAAACUCUGUUGCCGGGGAAGAACAAGUGCCGUUCGAACAGGGCGGCGCCUUGACGGUACCCGGCCAGAAAGCCACGGCUAACUACGUGCCAGCAGCCGCGGUAAUACGUAGGUGGCAAGCGUUGUCCGGAAUUAUUGGGCGUAAAGCGCGCGCAGGCGGCUUCUUAAGUCUGAUGUGAAAUCUUGCGGCUCAACCGCAAGCGGUCAUUGGAAACUGGGAGGCUUGAGUGCAGAAGAGGAGAGUGGAAUUCCACGUGUAGCGGUGAAAUGCGUAGAGAUGUGGAGGAACACCAGUGGCGAAGGCGGCUCUCUGGUCUGUAACUGACGCUGAGGCGCGAAAGCGUGGGGAGCAAACAGGAUUAGAUACCCUGGUAGUCCACGCCGUAAACGAUGUGUUCUAAGUGUUAGAGGGUUUCCGCCCUUUAGUGCUGCAGC
Molecule: ribosomal RNA, 843 nt
Filed under: Heyndrickxia coagulans
Lineage: Bacteria; Bacillati; Bacillota; Bacilli; Caryophanales; Bacillaceae
Description: bacterial SSU rRNA
Rfam family: Bacterial small subunit ribosomal RNA
Source: RNAcentral